RNAcentral lists this ribosomal RNA (1346 nucleotides) under uncultured bacterium. RNAcentral's name for it is "bacterial SSU rRNA". It matches the Rfam family "Bacterial small subunit ribosomal RNA", at positions 28 to 1381 of the family's 1533-position model. The record is from RNAcentral.
GACGAACGCUGGCGGCGUGCUUAACACAUGCAAGUCGAACGGAAAGGCCCUGCUUUUGUGGGGUGCUCGAGUGGCGAACGGGUGAGUAACACGUGAGUAACCUGCCCUUGACUUUGGGAUAACUUCAGGAAACUGGGGCUAAUACCGGAUAGGAGCUCCUGCUGCAUGGUGGGGGUUGGAAAGUUUCGGCGGUUGGGGAUGGACUCGCGGCUUAUCAGCUUGUUGGUGGGGUAGUGGCUUACCAAGGCUUUGACGGGUAGCCGGCCUGAGAGGGUGACCGGCCACAUUGGGACUGAGAUACGGCCCAGACUCCUACGGGAGGCAGCAGUGGGGAAUAUUGCACAAUGGGCGGAAGCCUGAUGCAGCAACGCCGCGUGCGGGAUGACGGCCUUCGGGUUGUAAACCGCUUUCGCCUGUGACGAAGCGUGAGUGACGGUAAUGGGUAAAGAAGCACCGGCUAACUACGUGCCAGCAGCCGCGGUGAUACGUAGGGUGCGAGCGUUGUCCGGAUUUAUUGGGCGUAAAGGGCUCGUAGGUGGUUGAUCGCGUCGGAAGUGUAAUCUUGGGGCUUAACCCUGAGCGUGCUUUCGAUACGGGUUGACUUGAGGAAGGUAGGGGAGUAUGGAAUUCCUGGUGGAGCGGUGGAAUGCGCAGAUAUCAGGAGGAACACCAGUGGCGAAGGCGGUUCUCUGGGCCUUUCCUGACGCUGAGGAGCGAAAGCGUGGGGAGCGAACAGGCUUAGAUACCCUGGUAGUCCACGCUGUAAACGGUGGGUACUAGGUGUGGGGUCCAUUCCACGGGUUCCGUGCCGUAGCUAACGCUUUAAGUACCCCGCCUGGGGAGUACGGCCGCAAGGCUAAAACUCAAAGGAAUUGACGGGGCCCCGCACAAGCGGCGGAGCAUGCGGAUUAAUUCGAUGCAACGCGUAGAACCUUACCUGGGUUUGACAUGGAUCGGGAGCGCUCAGAGAUGGGUGUGCCUCUUUUGGGGUCGGUUCACAGGUGGUGCAUGGCUGUCGUCAGCUCGUGUCGUGAGAUGUUGGGUUAAGUCCCGCAACGAGCGCAACCCUUGUUCACUGUUGCCAGCACGUUAUGGUGGGGACUCAGUGGAGACCGCCGGGGUCAACUCGGAGGAAGGUGGGGAUGACGUCAAGUCAUCAUGCCCCUUAUGUCCAGGGCUUCACGCAUGCUACAAUGGCUGGUACAGAGAGUGGCGAGCCUGUGAGGGUGAGCGAAUCUCGGAAAGCCGGUCUCAGUUCGGAUUGGGGUCUGCAACUCGACCUCAUGAAGUCGGAGUCGCUAGUAAUCGCAGAUCAGCAACGCUGCGGUGAAUACGUUCCCGGGGCU